GCUACAUACUUCUAAACUCAGUUUCUGUAAUUUACAUUCCCCAGCACGCUCCCCGAGCGCGAAGGGCCUAUUAUCGCGAGAAACCGCCGAGCCAGGUGGGGGGCGAGGGGAGGCUUCAGUUGCAAUGGAUUCCCAGCACCCUUAGCGAAUUCCCGAUUCCCUUACUGCGCAUGGUACGGCGCAGGCGCAAUAGAGAUACCUUGACUUACGCGCGCUUCAGAAGGUAUAAAUAAGGAUGCCUUGGGGGUUGCUCGGUCCUUUCGAGAAUGCAAGCUGCGCUGUGUUAGAGUUGGUGAGUGUUUUUACCCGCUCGAUUCGUUAGCUCUACGUCUAGUCUCUCAGGCCAGCCAACCAGCUUUUCCUGUGGACAUCGUACUAUUUAGAAGGAUUCUUCUCAGCGGUGUCUGUACUAACUACACUUAUUUGUGCAGCGGGGCUGGGCCGGAUGUAGGCCGCGGAGGCCUUGCGAGCCGCGCGCGGGUCUUACCCAUAGCGGAGGAGCGCGAGCGCCGAAACCUCCAGCGCUGUUACCUCCCGCGUCGGGACGCUAAAUGCGCGGCCCGCCCUCUCGCUAUUGACCAUCGCCGGUUUAUUAACUUGCCUCCUAGGAGGCAGUGGAGUUGCACGGAAGACAUUUUAUUUCUGACCCCCAUCCGAGUUCCAGAAUUGAUUUCGAAACGGACGGAUCUUAAUCCUGCUGCUAGUUGAUUUGUGAUGUAGGGUGGUUUCACGACUGUAGAUCAGUUUAUACAUAACGAGGCAUAACUGUGGUCUCGGCUCUGCAUUUUUCUGGCAGUAGUGCUAAUCGCCUGUUGGGGUUUAUAGAUAGGUUUGGGGUAUCUGGUUGGCAGUUCAUUUAGAUUACUGGCAUGAGACUGCUGAUAACUCGAAUUUCGUUGCCAGUUUGGAGUUCAGGUUUCACCUGGGAAAUUGGGGAAGUCGUCAGCUGGUUGAAACUUGUUUCUAGCUCAGUAGUCUGCAAGUUAAGUAAAUUACAGUGACCAACGUGGAUACUCUCGGGAGGUCACUCUCCCCGGGCUCUGUCCAGGUGGCGUAGGGGAGCAUAGGGCUCUGCCCCGUGACGUACAGUCCCUUUCCACGACGUUGGAGAUGAAGCCGGGCCUUGAGUCUGCGCCUGCAUAUUCCUACAGCUUCUCAGAGUCCUGUGGACGAUGACUGAGGAGACAAACCAUGCAGGAAACAGCUCUUAGAGCACCCCCUAUCUGGAGCUAGAUUGAUCGGAAAUGAAAGAAAGUUCUGCUCGUAAUCAGCUGCUGUUCUACUGGAUUAAGCUCUUACCUACCUUGUUUUGCAGCAGUUGCUCAGGAUUCCAGAUAAUUUGAUUUGGGGAUUGAAGAGGAGCCUCACCUUACAUUGGCAGUCGAGACUUUAUGCUUUGGGGUACUUUAUUUACUUGGCAGGAACAGUUGGUGAAGUGGAUGAUAAAUGUUUUUGUAAGCUAAGCCUGGAGGUUUAGAAGCUUGAGCACAUUUGACCCCUUGUUAAAACUGCCCUUAAGAGAAAAUCAAGGGGGAACAGUAGGUUUUUAAGCUUAUUUUAAGAGAGAGCAAGUAUGUGGGAGGGGCAGAGGGGGAGAGAAUCCCAAACAGGCUCUACCCUAUCAGCAUGGAGCCUCAACUGAGAUCAUGACCUGAGCAGAAAUCAAGAGUCUGACUGAGCCACCCGGCACCCUGAUCCAUGUGUUUCUGAUGUACUUCUGGAUUACAAUAAAGAUGACUGCAUA
Leopardus geoffroyi (Geoffroy's cat) is the source of this 1744-nucleotide long non-coding RNA. RefSeq lists it as uncharacterized. NCBI's taxonomy places the organism in Eukaryota, Metazoa, Chordata, Mammalia, Carnivora, Felidae. The record is from RefSeq and is a predicted model, not a curated record. The transcript has 2 exons.